GUCUCUGUAGCGCAAUGGAUAGCACGUUGGACUUCUAUUCUAAAGGUCGUGGGUUCGAAUCCCCCCUGGGAUG
This 73-nucleotide transfer RNA is filed under the name Trichonephila clavata. It matches the Rfam family "tRNA". From Rfam's summary of the family: Transfer RNA (tRNA) molecules are approximately 80 nucleotides in length. Their secondary structure includes four short double-helical elements and three loops (D, anti-codon, and T loops). Lineage: Eukaryota; Metazoa; Arthropoda; Arachnida; Araneae; Nephilidae. The record is from Rfam by way of RNAcentral.